RNAcentral lists this ribosomal RNA (253 nucleotides) under uncultured bacterium. RNAcentral's name for it is "partial 16S ribosomal RNA". It matches the Rfam family "Bacterial small subunit ribosomal RNA", at positions 524 to 776 of the family's 1533-position model. The record is from RNAcentral.
UACAGAGGGGGCAAGCGUUGUUCGGAAUUACUGGGCGUAAAGGGCUCGUAGGCGGCCAACUAAGUCAGACGUGAAAUCCCUCGGCUUAACCGGGGAACUGCGUCUGAUACUGGAUGGCUUGAAUCCGGGAGAGGGAUGUGGAAUUCCUGGUGUAGCGGUGGAAUGCGCAGAUAUCAGGAGGAACACCGGUGGCGAAGGCGGGUCUCUGGGCAGUAACUGACGCUGAGGAGCGAAAGCGUGGGGAGCGAACAGG